RNAcentral lists this ribosomal RNA (524 nucleotides) under uncultured bacterium. RNAcentral's name for it is "partial 16S ribosomal RNA". It matches the Rfam family "Bacterial small subunit ribosomal RNA", at positions 28 to 523 of the family's 1533-position model. The record is from RNAcentral.
GACGAACGCUGGCGGCGUGCCUAAUACAUGCAAGUCGAGCGCAGGAAACUGACGGAACUCUUCGGAGGGAAGGCAGUGGAAUGAGCGGCGGACGGGUGAGUAACACGUAAGGAACCUGCCUCCAGGAUUGGGAUAACUCCGAGAAAUCGGAGCUAAUACCGGAUAGUUCAACGGACCGCAUGGUCCGCUGACGAAAGGCGCUUCGGCGUCACCUUGAGAUGGCCUUGCGGUGCAUUAGCUAGUUGGUGGGGUAACGGCCCACCAAGGCGACGAUGCAUAGCCGACCUGUGAGGGUGAUCGGCCACACUGGGACUGAGACACGGCCCAGACUCCUACGGGAGGCAGCAGUAGGGAAUCUUCCACAAUGGACGAAAGUCUGAUGGAGCAACGCCGCGUGAGUGAUGAAGGUUUUCGGAUCGUAAAACUCUGUUGUAAGGGAAGAACACGUACGAGAGGAAAUGCUCGUACCUUGACGGUACCUUACGAGAAAGCCACGGCUAACUACGUGCCAGCCGCCGCGGUAC